GAUGAACGCUAGCGGCAGGCCUAACACAUGCAAGUCGAGGGAGAGGUUAUCUUCGGGUAACCAAAACCGGCGCACGGGUGCGUAACGCGUAUACAAUCUGCCUUUCACAUAGGGAUAGCCCGAAGAAAUUUGGAUUAAUACCUAAUGGUAUAUAGGAGCGGCAUCGUUUUUAUAUUAAAGCUACGGUGGUGAAAGAUGAGUAUGCGUUCUAUUAGCUAGUUGGAGAGGUAACGGCUCCCCAAGGCGACGAUAGAUAGGGGUUCUGAGAGGGAUGUCCCCCACACUGGUACUGAGAUACGGACCAGACUCCUACGGGAGGCAGCAGUGAGGAAUAUUGGACAAUGGUCGGAAGACUGAUCCAGCCAUGCCGCGUGCAGGAUGAAGGUCCUAUGGAUUGUAAACUGCUUUUGUAAGGGAAGAAUAAGGAGUACCUGUACUUUGAUGACGGUACCUUACGAAUAAGCAUCGGUUACCUCCUCGCGGGCAGCCGCGUUAAAACAGAGGAUGCGAGCGUCAUCCGGAAGCUUCGAGUUCAAAGGGUCCGUAGGCGGACUGAUAACUCAGAGGUGACAGCGCUUAUCUCAACUAAGCA
RNAcentral lists this ribosomal RNA (592 nucleotides) under uncultured Capnocytophaga sp. RNAcentral describes it as "bacterial SSU rRNA". It matches the Rfam family "Bacterial small subunit ribosomal RNA", at positions 28 to 619 of the family's 1533-position model. Lineage: Bacteria; Pseudomonadati; Bacteroidota; Flavobacteriia; Flavobacteriales; Flavobacteriaceae. The record is from RNAcentral.